GACGAACGCUGGCGGCGUGCCUAAUACAUGCAAGUAGAACGCUGAAGAGAGGAGCUUGCUCUUCUUGGAUGAGUUGCGAACGGGUGAGUAACGCGUAGGUAACCUGCCUUGUAGCGGGGGAUAACUAUUGGAACCGAUAGCUAAUCCCGCAUACCAAUGGAUGACACAUGUCAUUUAUUUGAAAGGGGCAAUUGCUCCACUACAAGAUGGCCCUGCGUUGUAUUAGCUAGUAGGUGAGGUAAUGGCUCACCUAGGCGACGAUACAUAGCCGACCUGAGAGGGUGAUCGGCCACACUGGGACUGAGACACGGCCCAGACUCCUACGGGAGGCAGCAGUAGGGAAUCUUCGGCAAUGGGGGCAACCCUGACCGAGCAACGCCGCGUGAGUGAAGAAGGUUUUCGGAUCGUAAAGCUCUGUUGUAAGUCAAGAACGGGUGUGAGAGUGGAAAGUUCACACUGUGACGGUAGCUUACCAGAAAGGGACGGCUAACUACGUG
Molecule: ribosomal RNA, 497 nt
Filed under: uncultured bacterium
Lineage: Bacteria
Description: partial 16S ribosomal RNA
Rfam family: Bacterial small subunit ribosomal RNA
Source: RNAcentral